GCAGUCGAGCGGAACGAUGGGAGCUUGCUCCCGGCGUCUAGCGGCGGACGGGUGAGUAACACUUAGGAAUCUACCUAGUAGUGGGGGAUAGCUCGGGGAAACUCGAAUUAAUACCGCAUACGUCCUACGGGAGAAAGGGGGCAACUUGUUGCUCUCGCUAUUAGAUGAGCCUAAGUCGGAUUACCUAGUUGGUGGGGUAAAGGCCUACCAAGGCGACGAUCUGUAGCUGGUCUGAGAGGAUGAUCAGCCACACCGGGACUGAGACACGGCCCGGACUCCUACGGGAGGCAGCAGUGGGGAAUAUUGGACAAUGGGGGCAACCCUGAUCCAGCCAUGCCGCGUGUGUGAAGAAGGCCUUUUGGUUGUAAAGCACUUUAAGCAGUGAAGAAGACCUAACGGUUAAUACCCGUUAGCGAUGACAUUAGCUGCAGAAUAAGCACCGGCUAACUCUGUGCCAGCAGCCGCGGUAAUACAGAGGGUGCAAGCGUUAAUCGGAAUUACUGGGCGUAAAGCGAGCGUAGGUGGCUUGAUAAGUCAGAUGUGAAAUCCCCGGGCUUAACCUGGGAACUGCAUCUGAUACUGUCAGGCUAGAAUAGGUGAGAGGAAGGUAGAAUUCCAGGUGUAGCGGUGAAAUGCGUAGAGAUCUGGAGGAAUACCGAUGGCGAAGGCAGCCUUCUGGCAUCAUAUUGACACUGAGGUUCGAAAGCGUGGGUAGCAAACAGGAUUAGAUACCCUGGUAGUCCACGCCGUAAACGAUGUCUACUAGUCGAUGGGUCCCUUGAGGACUUAGUGACGCAGCUAACGCAAUAAGUAGACCGCCUGGGGAG
RNAcentral lists this ribosomal RNA (827 nucleotides) under Psychrobacter sp. Mor224. RNAcentral describes it as "bacterial SSU rRNA". It matches the Rfam family "Bacterial small subunit ribosomal RNA", at positions 57 to 880 of the family's 1533-position model. Lineage: Bacteria; Pseudomonadati; Pseudomonadota; Gammaproteobacteria; Moraxellales; Moraxellaceae. The record is from RNAcentral.